This is a non-coding RNA of Podarcis lilfordi (Lilford's wall lizard), 71 nucleotides long. The record is from the annotation of a GenBank genome assembly. NCBI's taxonomy places the organism in Eukaryota, Metazoa, Chordata, Lepidosauria, Squamata, Lacertidae.
CCUCCAUUUCUUCCCCUUCUGUUUGCCAGGUCCCAUCACCUCCUGGCAAAUUGAAGGGGAAGAAAUGGAGG